Molecule: long non-coding RNA, 251 nt
Organism: Silurus meridionalis
Lineage: Eukaryota; Metazoa; Chordata; Actinopteri; Siluriformes; Siluridae
Exons: 3
Source: RefSeq, a predicted model, not a curated record
GGACAUAAAUCACAAUGAUGAAUCAUGAAAUUACUGAGUCGUCACUAAAUCGUUCAUCAGAUUCGAUUCAAUUCAAUUCAACUUUAUUGUCAAAGACCCUGAUAUUUAUGCAGAAACAACAACAGCAGCUUCGCCUUUUUUCGAUGUCGGCUCCAACCCGAUUCCCCUUUACCUCGAUGAUGGAGCUUAUGAAACAAUCCAGCUGGAGCAGCCGUUCAAGUAUGGUGAAAAUGUCUACUCUCAACUGUAUG